AUACGGAGGGUGCAAGCGUUAAUCGGAAUUACUGGGCGUAGAGAGUACGUAGGUGGUUUGUUAAGUCAGAUGUGAAAGCCCCGGGCUCAACCUGGGAACUGCAUUUGAAACUGGCAAACUAGAGUAUGGUAGAGGGGGGUAGAAUUUCUAGUGUAGCGGUGAAAUGCGUAGAUAUUAGAAGGAAUACCAGUGGCGAAGGCGGCCCCCUGGACCAAUACUGACACUGAGGUACGAAAGCGUGGGUAGCGAACAGGAUUAGAAACCCGAGUAGUCC
Molecule: ribosomal RNA, 274 nt
Filed under: uncultured bacterium
Lineage: Bacteria
Description: partial 16S ribosomal RNA
Rfam family: Bacterial small subunit ribosomal RNA
Source: RNAcentral